RNAcentral lists this long non-coding RNA (994 nucleotides) under Homo sapiens (human). Its description in RNAcentral is "HSALNT0352442". The record is from RNAcentral. Lineage: Eukaryota; Metazoa; Chordata; Mammalia; Primates; Hominidae.
CAAGUGGCACCAGCCAAAUCCCUGCCUUACUGACCUCUCCCCUGGAGGAGCAGGAGCAGCGCUCAAGGCCGCCCUGGGAGGGCUGAGAGGCAGGCUCUGGACUGGGGACACAGGGAUAGCUGAGCCCCAGCUGGGGGUGGAAGCUGAGCCAGGGACAGUCACAGAGGAACAAGAUCAAGAUGCGCUUUAACUGAGAAGCCCCCAAGGCAGAGGCUGAGAAUCAGAAGACAUUUCAGCAGACAUCUACAAAUCUGAAGGACAAAACAUGGUUCAAGCAUCUGGGCACAGGCGGAGCUGGUACCUUCGCUUAUACAAAUGUACUUACUUAUUACAUUUCAUUGCUGUCAGCUCCACGCAAGCAGGGAUAUUUGCCUGUUGUACACUUGCACGGAGAGAAUGAAUAGUGCCCCUCUGUUGACAUCAUUGCCUCUAGCCUACGUCUCUUUCCAGGGCUUUAGAUCCUGUUUCUAGAGACCCACUGGUGUCUCACAGGCAACUCAGCUCCUAGAUGGAAACAGCCUCCUCCGCCCCCCACAAGUCCACUCCUCCUGUGCUCUUGGCUCAGUCAGGGGUCCCCUUCUCUUCAGUUGCUCAAGCCAGAAGUCAAGGUCAUGUCCUUGAUACUUCCCUCUUCCCCAUGCCUCACAUCCAGUCACCAAUCUCCUAAAAUAUCUAGAAUGUGCACAGCUUCCACCAUUCUUUCUACCACCACCCUACUCCCCCAUGGCCAUGUCAGGCCACCACCCGCCCAUUCUUCAAAACUCCCUUCAGGCCUCACCUCCCAUGCCUCCCCUGAGUUCCCCCAGUCCCAGGCUGCUUCUCUCUGGUGGUGUUGCCAUUACCCAUCUCUUCUAUUAAACAGAGUGACCCAAGAGUGGAGAGUGGGUUUUGACUUUGUAUCCCUGGUGCUUGACUCAUAAGUAGGUGCUCAACAAAAAUUUUUUCUUUUUUUGAGAUGGAGUCUUGUUCUGUUGCCCAUGCUGGAGUGCAGUGG